This 436-nucleotide ribosomal RNA is filed under the name uncultured bacterium. Its description in RNAcentral is "partial 16S ribosomal RNA". It matches the Rfam family "Bacterial small subunit ribosomal RNA", at positions 29 to 507 of the family's 1533-position model. The record is from RNAcentral.
AGCGAACGCUGGCGGCAGGCUUAACACAUGCCAGUCGAGCGGGCAUCCUUGUGGUGUCAGCGGCAGACGGGUGAGUAACGCGUGGGAACGUGCCCUUCGGUUCGGAAUAACUCAGGGAAACUUGAGCUAAUACCGGAUACGCCCUUUUGGGGAAAGGUUUACUGCCGAAGGAUCGGCCCGCGUCUGAUUAGCUAGUUGGUGAGGUUAUGGCUCACCAAGGCGACGAUCAGUAGCUGGUCUGAGAGGAUGAUCAGCCACACUGGGACUGAGACACGGCCCAGACUCCUACGGGAGGCAGCAGUGGGGAAUAUUGGACAAUGGGGGCAACCCUGAUCCAGCCAUGCCGCGUGAGUGAUGACGGCCUUAGGGUUGUAAAGCUCUUUUCUCCGGGACGAUAAUGACGGUACCGGAGGAAUAAGCCCCGGCUAACUUCGUG